Mus pahari (shrew mouse) is the source of this 612-nucleotide RNA transcript. It is a transcript of the gene named S-phase kinase-associated protein 1 pseudogene, with no coding region annotated. The record is from RefSeq and is a predicted model, not a curated record. NCBI's taxonomy places the organism in Eukaryota, Metazoa, Chordata, Mammalia, Rodentia, Muridae. The transcript has a single exon.
CCCUCAGCCUCGGGCCUGCAGUCUUGAGAACAAGCACCAUGCCUACGAUAAAGAGUUCUGUUGGAGAGGUAUUUGAAGCUUAUGUAGAAAUUGCCAAACAAUCUGUGACUAUCAAGACCAUGCCGGAAGAUUUGGGAAUGGAUGAUGAAGGAGAUGAUGAUCCUGUUCCUUUACCAAAUGUUAAUGCAACAAUUCUAAAAAAGCUCAUUCAGUGGUGCACCCACCACAAAGGUGACCCUCCUCCUCCUGAGGAUGAUGAAAACAAAGAAAAGCAGACAGAUGAUAUUCCUGUUUGGGACCAAGAAUUCCUGAAAGUUUACCAAGGAACACUUUUUGAACUUAUUCUGUUUGCAAACUACUUAGACAUCAAAAGUUUGCUUGAUGUCACAUGCAAGACUGUGGCCAAUAUGAUUAAGGGGAAAACUCCUGAGGAGAUUCGUAAAACCUUCAAUAUCAAAAAUGACUUUACUGCAGAGAAGGAGGCCCAGGUACGCAAAGAGAGCCAAUGGUGUAAAGAGAAGUGAACUGCUGUGCCUGUCACUGUAACACUAGAAGGAUUGUUCCAAAUGCUAGUUGCACUGCUCUGUUUAUAAUUGUUAAUAUUAGAGAUCA